Molecule: microRNA precursor, 182 nt
Filed under: Picea abies (Norway spruce)
Lineage: Eukaryota; Viridiplantae; Streptophyta; Pinopsida; Pinales; Pinaceae
Source: RNAcentral
UCAUGUGGGAUCUUGCAUGAAAGGCCACAGUAGGUGAUGGAGCCAAGGAUGAUUUGCCGACAUCCACUCAUAAUCUGUCUGGACAAAUGCAUAUUGUACAUGACGUCAUGAUAGGGAAGGAAGUUGGCAAUUUGUCCUUGGCUACAUAUCUUGCUGUGCUUCUCAUGCCAGACCUUAGAUGA